UGGUGAACAUAGCAAGCGUGAACCACCCGAUCCCAUCCCGAACUCGGAAGUGAAACCGCUUAGCGCCGAUGAUAGUGUGGCAGGUUGCCAUGUGAAAGUAGGUCAUCGCC
RNAcentral lists this ribosomal RNA (110 nucleotides) under Methylomonas koyamae. RNAcentral also lists the same sequence under 1 other name. The record is from RNAcentral. Lineage: Bacteria; Pseudomonadati; Pseudomonadota; Gammaproteobacteria; Methylococcales; Methylococcaceae.